RNAcentral lists this long non-coding RNA (1257 nucleotides) under Numida meleagris (helmeted guineafowl). RNAcentral's name for it is "lncRNA (ENSNMEG00000004170.1)". Lineage: Eukaryota; Metazoa; Chordata; Aves; Galliformes; Numididae. The record is from RNAcentral.
AUGUGUCCCCAACGUGUCCCCAGCNUGGGGACACGUGGCCAGGUUGGUGACACUGUGCGUCCCGCAGCUGGUGGCCGUGCACUCGGUGGUGUUCAGCACGCAGGCGGAGGACGCGGACGGGGACACGCUGAUGUACGUCAUCGACGCCAGCUCGGUGCGUGCCGGGGACAGGAGAGGGGACAUCGGGGGGGGGGACACACGGCGUGGCCAGGGGGGACAAACACACGGUGUCACCGAGCUGUCCCCAACGUGUCCCCAGCCGGACGCGCGCUUCUUCCGCAUCGACCUGCCGAACAGCGGGCGCGUGGUGCUGGCGCGGCCCCUGGACUUCGAGAGCCGCCAGAGCCUGGAGGUGGUGGUGACGGCCGUGGUGAGGUCCCCAACGUGUCCCCAACGUGGUCUCAAUGUGUCCCCAACGUGUCCCCAGCGUGUCCCCAACGUGUCCCCAGCAUGGUCUCAAUGUGUCCCCAGCGUGUCCCCAAUGUGACCUCAGUGUGGCCCCAGAGUGUCCCCUGCGUGUCCCCAGUGUGGCCCCAAUGUCACUUCAAAAUGGUUCCAACGUGUCCCCAGUGUGUCCCCAGUGUGUCCCCAACGUGUCCCCAGUGUGUCCCCAACGUGUCUCCAAUAUGUCCCCAACGUGUCCCCAGUGUGGCCCCAACGUGUCCCCAGUGUGUCCCCAAUGUGUCUCCAACAUGUCUCCAGCAUGUCCCCAGUGUGUCCUCAGUGUGUCCCCAACAUGGUCUCAGUGUGUCCCCAGUGUGUCCCCAGCAUGUCCCCAGUGUGUCCCCAACAUGGUCUCAAUGUGUCCCCAGCGUGUCCCCAGCAUGGUCUCAACGUGUCCCCAACGUGUCCCCAGCGUGUCCCCAACGUGUCCCCAGCAUGGUCUCAAUGUGUCCCCAACGUGUCUCCAGUGUGUCCCCAGGGAGUCCCCAGCGUGUCCCCAACAUGUCCCCAUUGUGUCCCCAGUGCGUCCCUAGCAUGUCCCCAACGUGGCCUCAAUGUGUCCCCAACGUGUCCCCAACAUGGCCUCAGUGUGUCCCCAACGUAGUCUCAAUGUGUCCCCAACGUGUCCCCAGAAUGUCCCCAACGUGGCCUCACUGGGUCCCCAGUGUGUCCCCAAAGUGUCCCCAAUGUGACCUCAACAUGCUCCAAGGGUGUCCCCAACGUGUCCCCAAUGUGGCCUCAAUGUGUCCCCAAUGUGGCCCCAACAUAUCCCAAACGUGGCCUCAAUGUGUCCCCAACGUGGCCCCAACAUGA